RNAcentral lists this ribosomal RNA (1554 nucleotides) under Klebsiella pneumoniae subsp. pneumoniae. RNAcentral describes it as "bacterial SSU rRNA". It matches the Rfam family "Bacterial small subunit ribosomal RNA". Lineage: Bacteria; Pseudomonadati; Pseudomonadota; Gammaproteobacteria; Enterobacterales; Enterobacteriaceae. The record is from RNAcentral.
ACUUAAAUUGAAGAGUUUGAUCAUGGCUCAGAUUGAACGCUGGCGGCAGGCCUAACACAUGCAAGUCGAGCGGUAGCACAGAGAGCUUGCUCUCGGGUGACGAGCGGCGGACGGGUGAGUAAUGUCUGGGAAACUGCCUGAUGGAGGGGGAUAACUACUGGAAACGGUAGCUAAUACCGCAUAACGUCGCAAGACCAAAGUGGGGGACCUUCGGGCCUCAUGCCAUCAGAUGUGCCCAGAUGGGAUUAGCUAGUAGGUGGGGUAACGGCUCACCUAGGCGACGAUCCCUAGCUGGUCUGAGAGGAUGACCAGCCACACUGGAACUGAGACACGGUCCAGACUCCUACGGGAGGCAGCAGUGGGGAAUAUUGCACAAUGGGCGCAAGCCUGAUGCAGCCAUGCCGCGUGUGUGAAGAAGGCCUUCGGGUUGUAAAGCACUUUCAGCGGGGAGGAAGGCGAUAAGGUUAAUAACCUUGUCGAUUGACGUUACCCGCAGAAGAAGCACCGGCUAACUCCGUGCCAGCAGCCGCGGUAAUACGGAGGGUGCAAGCGUUAAUCGGAAUUACUGGGCGUAAAGCGCACGCAGGCGGUCUGUCAAGUCGGAUGUGAAAUCCCCGGGCUCAACCUGGGAACUGCAUUCGAAACUGGCAGGCUAGAGUCUUGUAGAGGGGGGUAGAAUUCCAGGUGUAGCGGUGAAAUGCGUAGAGAUCUGGAGGAAUACCGGUGGCGAAGGCGGCCCCCUGGACAAAGACUGACGCUCAGGUGCGAAAGCGUGGGGAGCAAACAGGAUUAGAUACCCUGGUAGUCCACGCCGUAAACGAUGUCGAUUUGGAGGUUGUGCCCUUGAGGCGUGGCUUCCGGAGCUAACGCGUUAAAUCGACCGCCUGGGGAGUACGGCCGCAAGGUUAAAACUCAAAUGAAUUGACGGGGGCCCGCACAAGCGGUGGAGCAUGUGGUUUAAUUCGAUGCAACGCGAAGAACCUUACCUGGUCUUGACAUCCACAGAACUUUCCAGAGAUGGAUUGGUGCCUUCGGGAACUGUGAGACAGGUGCUGCAUGGCUGUCGUCAGCUCGUGUUGUGAAAUGUUGGGUUAAGUCCCGCAACGAGCGCAACCCUUAUCCUUUGUUGCCAGCGGUCCGGCCGGGAACUCAAAGGAGACUGCCAGUGAUAAACUGGAGGAAGGUGGGGAUGACGUCAAGUCAUCAUGGCCCUUACGACCAGGGCUACACACGUGCUACAAUGGCAUAUACAAAGAGAAGCGACCUCGCGAGAGCAAGCGGACCUCAUAAAGUAUGUCGUAGUCCGGAUUGGAGUCUGCAACUCGACUCCAUGAAGUCGGAAUCGCUAGUAAUCGUAGAUCAGAAUGCUACGGUGAAUACGUUCCCGGGCCUUGUACACACCGCCCGUCACGCCAUGGGAGUGGGUUGCAAAAGAAGUAGGUAGCUUAACCUUCGGGAGGGCGCUUACCACUUUGUGAUUCAUGACUGGGGUGAAGUCGUAACAAGGUAACCGUAGGGGAACCUGCGGUUGGAUCACCUCCUUACCUUAAAGAA